RNAcentral lists this long non-coding RNA (1008 nucleotides) under Musa acuminata (dwarf banana). Its description in RNAcentral is "long non-coding RNA (MACU_LNC003972)". The record is from RNAcentral. Lineage: Eukaryota; Viridiplantae; Streptophyta; Magnoliopsida; Zingiberales; Musaceae.
AAUUAGUGCAGCGGAUAUUUUUCAGUGAUUAAAAAACGAAAGCUGCGUUCGUUCGAUAAAGACUAUUUUGAUGCAAAAGCCGAUUCUAAGAUUACUUAUGAUUAAGUGCAGUUUACGUUUAAACACAGUUAGCGUCUAAACGCGGUUUGCGUCUAAAUUCAGAUUGCGUCUAAACUCAGAUUGCGUCUAAGCGCAGUUUGCGUCUUAGCGCAGAUUGCGUCUAAGCGCAGAUUGCGUCUAAACGCAGAUUGCGUCUAAGCGCAGAUUGCGUCUAAACACAGUUUGCGUCUAGGAGCAGUUUAAGCAGAAGUAUAAAGACAAUGUGCUGCUGUUGUACAGCUCAAAAAGUAAUCUGCAAAAAACAGAUUUACGUCUAAACGCAGAUUUACGUCUAGACGCAGAUUUACGUCUAAACACAGAUUUACGUCUUAAACGUAGAUUUACGUCUGAACUUUGAAACUCGUUUGUAUACUCGCAGAAGGCAGUAUGCAGUUGAAAUCAAGACGUAAACGUGAACUGAGAUCUGAUGAUUGUGCGAGGAAAGCCGAUUUACGUCUAAAUGCAGUUUUACGUCUAAAUGUUGAAACUCGUUCGUAAAAUUGUAGAGGAUAGUUUGCAGUUAUCAAUAGGAUCAAAAUGUAAGUGUAAACUUCAAAGAAACUCGUUCGUAAAAGCACGGAAGACAGUUCUGCAGAAUCAAACGUAAACGUAAAAUGUAAUGUACGAAAAUACGAAUUUACGUCUGAAUGCAGAUUCGGAAGAACAGCACUUAGAACUUGUUCGUGAAAGCGCAGAGAACAGUAGUAAUGAAGGAGGUUUGCAGUAAUGAUAAAGUGCUCAAAAAUAAACGCAAACCAGAGAUUUAGAGUGGUUCGGUCAGCCUUGACCUACUCCACUUUUGGCUUCCUCCACCGACGAGGUCGCCGACGUCAACUAGGGGCCUUCCUUCAAUAGGCGAAGGCCAAACUUCCCGUUUACAGUUUCUCUCCUUUUGACAGGCUCAGGAGA